GUGCCCACUUUGGCACCAUGUAUAUUAAAACUAGAACUGUACAGGAAAGAUUAGCAUGACCUCUGUGCAAAGAUGACACAGAUUUAUGAAGAAUGCCUCUAUUUUGUU
Small nuclear RNA from Bison bison bison, 108 nucleotides. Lineage: Eukaryota; Metazoa; Chordata; Mammalia; Artiodactyla; Bovidae. The record is from Ensembl.